UUAUUUUUGCUUAAGUAAAAAUAUGUUGAAGUAGUGUUACUCUUACUUUAGUCAAAUUUUGGGGUACUCUGUGUAACAGAGAAAAAAGUGUGUGUGUAUGUAUGUAUAUGUGAAUUUUACCCAAAAUAAUAAUAAUAGUAUGUAUUUAUAAUGAGAUUUUUGAUCCGUGUGUUUGGAGCCACCUAGUGGUGUGAUGAGUGACUGCAUGCAACGGGUCCUUCAGGCGCUCUCUCGGCUUCCCCCGCCAGGAUUCUCAAGAGCGCUGGUGGAUGUGGGUGCGAGAGGCGCAGCUCUUCGCUAUUUUUCUUUUACUUAGGGUCAUAUUUUUCUAGUUCAACUAUUAACGAAAUACUAUAAGAUGAUUUAACAUUUACAAAUAUAAUUUGUAAAGUUUUCUCGUGUUUUGGGCUGGAAAACGUGCGCCAGUUGGUGGUUGUGGCUGACCGCUCAGUCAUGACGCUAAUUGUGUCUUUUGUUUUUCAGCUGCUGGGCCACUUGCGUGCAGUCAGAGUCACAUUGUUUCAAUUUGUAUCGCACUAGGUGACAAACAACCAAACACGGAAGGCUACAUCUGCCCACCUCUGAAAAUCACCCAGAAUCAACUCAGUAGUUUUUGUAACCCCUGUUGUUGGUAUAAUGGAU
This is a long non-coding RNA of Xiphophorus hellerii (green swordtail), 642 nucleotides long. RefSeq lists it as uncharacterized. The transcript has 2 exons. NCBI's taxonomy places the organism in Eukaryota, Metazoa, Chordata, Actinopteri, Cyprinodontiformes, Poeciliidae. The record is from RefSeq and is a predicted model, not a curated record.